AAAAAAAGGUUUAUUUGGGACGCCCGAGUGGCCCAGUGGUUCAGCACCUGCCUUCAGCCCGGGAUGUGGUCCUGGAGACCCAAGAUCAAGUCCACGUGGGGCUCCCUGCAUGGAGCCUGCUUCUCCCUCUGUGUCUCUCAUAAAUAAAUAAAAUCUUUUUUAAAAAGUUUAUUUAUUUAGGGGUUCCUGGGUGGCAGUCAGGUAAGUGUCCCGCUCUUGGUUUUCAGUUCAGGUCGUGAUCUCAGGGUCAUGAGAUCGAGCCCCGCAUCGGGCUCCGUGCUGAGCGUGGAGUCUGCUUGAGAGUCUCUCUCAGAGCACAAGUGGGAGGAGUGGCAGAGGGAGGAGGACAGGAUCUCAAGCCGCUUCCCCGCUGACCCCAGGACCCCGAGAUCACGACCUGGGCCAAAAUCAAGAGUCGACCGCUCCACCGACCGAGCCACCCAGGCGCCCUGGUACAGCUUUUUAAUAAUCACCUUUCAGAAGGGAGGCGGAUGCUGUUUGCCGUUUGACAGAAGAGCAGAAAAACACAGGACGUGAAUCACUGGUCACAAUCACUUGGAGUGUCAAGAUGGGUCCUCACAGCCAGCGGUUACUACAGACGGCAAUUUUUAAAACAGAUUAAAAAUACAGAGUCAAAUGAGAGAUUGGCCUUCUUUGGUCUUUGUUUUUGGGUAAUAGAACUGAACGAAGAGGUGUGCCAUCAGAGAAAGAAUGCGAUUCUAAAAACCUGACACAAUUGUCUACAUGGAUUCACACACUUCCUUGAUCACAGAUGUUAUUCUAUAGGUAAUUCUUGUAGAAAUCCUUGGAAAUAAUGCCGGCUUUUGUGUUUACCAAUUAACUCAUUUAGUUUGCUGUUGAAGGUUAUCUUACUUGUCUACUAGGGGACUGAGUUAUAAAAACCAAUCACCACUAAUUGCAGGAGUGGUACAGCCAUCCUGGACUUGAACCUCUUUUUCAACGCAAGAGUUCGCAAGGGACUCGAGAUACAGCAGCAGCAGGAGAAAUGAAAGGCAAGCACUGCUCGGCGCCACCAGGGCCCUGGGACUGGGCUCCCUCCCCG
Molecule: long non-coding RNA, 1063 nt
Filed under: Canis lupus dingo (dingo)
Lineage: Eukaryota; Metazoa; Chordata; Mammalia; Carnivora; Canidae
Description: lncRNA (ENSCAFG00020008915.1)
Source: RNAcentral